This 607-nucleotide ribosomal RNA is filed under the name uncultured fungus. RNAcentral's name for it is "LSU rRNA". It matches the Rfam family "Eukaryotic large subunit ribosomal RNA", at positions 38 to 667 of the family's 3401-position model. The record is from RNAcentral. Lineage: Eukaryota; Fungi.
GCAUAUCAAUAAGCGGAGGAAAAGAAACCAACAGGGAUUGCCUCAGUAGCGGCGAGUGAAGCGGCAAGAGCUCAGAUUUGAAAUCGUGCUUUGCGGCACAAGUUGUAGAUUGCAGGUUGGAGUCUGUGUGGAAGGCGGUGUCCAAGUCCCUUGGAACAGGGCGCCCAGGAGGGUGAGAGCCCCGUGGGAUGCCGGCGGAAGCAGUGAGGCCCUUCUGACGAGUCGAGUUGUUUGGGAAUGCAGCUCCAAGCGGGUGGUAAAUUCCAUCUAAGGCUAAAUACUGGCGAGAGACCGAUAGCGAACAAGUACUGUGAAGGAAAGAUGAAAAGCACUUUGAAAAGAGAGUGAAACAGCACGUGAAAUUGUUGAAAGGGAAGGGUAUUGCGCCCGACAUGGGGAUUGCGCACCGCUGCCUCUCGUGGGCGGCGCUCUGGGCUUUCCCUGGGCCAGCAUCGGUUCUUGCUGCAGGAGAAGGGGUUCUGGAACGUGGCUCUUCGGAGUGUUAUAGCCAGGGCCAGAUGCUGCGUGCGGGGACCGAGGACUGCGGCCGUGUAGGUCACGGAUGCUGGCAGAACGGCGCAACACCGCCCGUCUUGAAACACGGACC